Molecule: transfer RNA, 69 nt
Filed under: Marmota marmota marmota (Alpine marmot)
Lineage: Eukaryota; Metazoa; Chordata; Mammalia; Rodentia; Sciuridae
Also listed under: 1 other name
Rfam family: tRNA
About the family: Transfer RNA (tRNA) molecules are approximately 80 nucleotides in length. Their secondary structure includes four short double-helical elements and three loops (D, anti-codon, and T loops).
Source: Rfam by way of RNAcentral
GGGGUUGUGGCUCAGUGGUAGAGCACUUGCUUGGUAUGUGUGAGGCAUUAGGUUCGAUUCUCAACACUG